RNAcentral lists this ribosomal RNA (3718 nucleotides) under Patescibacteria group bacterium. RNAcentral's name for it is "23S ribosomal RNA". The stretch from base 1 to 2725 matches the Rfam family "Bacterial large subunit ribosomal RNA". The record is from RNAcentral. RNAcentral also lists the same sequence under 1 other name.
AGGUUAUAUAUUAAGGGUGUAUGGUGGAUGCCUUGACAUUAGAAGACGAAGAAGGACGUGGCGUAACUGCGAUAAGCCUCGGGGAGGUGUGUAGCGACCUUAGAUCCGGGGAUGUCCGAAUGGGGAAACCCAAUAUAGUGAUAAACUAUAUUAUCCCGACUUUAUUGUUGGGAGGUGAACUCGGCGAAGUAAAACAUUUCAGUAGCCGGAGGAACAGAGAAAAACUUUAUUCCCCAAGUAGUGGCGAGCGAAAAGGGAAGAGCCCAAACCUGAUGGUCCCGCAUUUGUGGGAUUAUUAGGGGUAGUAAGAUAGUGACGUCGGGAGAAAUCCCGGGGAGUGAAUACAAAACUAAGACUUCCUUAGUUGAAAGGGAUGGAAAGCCCUACCGAAGAAGGUAAUAGUCCUGUAAGCGAAAAGGGUCUUAUACUCCUAGUCAUUAAUCUUGAGUACCGCGAGAACAUGCAGUCUCGCGGGAAUCAUCCUGAACUAUCUAGGAAAGGCUAAAUACUUCUAAUGAUCGAUAGUGAACUAGUACCGUGAGGGAAAGGUGAAAAGUAGCCCGACAAGGGCAGUGAAAUAGUACCUGAAAUCAUACACUUACAAAGAGUCGGAGCCCCGCAUUAGCGGGGUGACGGCGUGCUUUUUGCAGAACGAACCAACGAGUUUACCGUAGACUGUUUUGUCUAAGUCCGUAAAGGACGGAGGCGUAGGGAAACCGAGUGUUAAUAGCGCGUUUUAUAACAGUAUGCGUAAGACCCGAAGCCAGGUGAGCUACCCAUGGCCAGGAUGAACCCCGAUGAAAAUCGGGGGGAGGUCCGAACCCAUCGGCCGUGCAAUACCGUGGGAUGAGCUGUGGGUUGGAGUGAAAAGCUAAUCGAACCUGGUAAUAGCUGGUUCUCCUCGAAAUAUGUUUAGGCAUAGCCUCUUAUUUUUCUCCUUAGGGGUAGAGCACUAAAUGGGCUGAGGUGGCGCAAGCCUACUCACUCAAUUAAACUCCGAAUACUAAGACAGAUAAUAAGGGAGUAAGACUGUGGGGGCUAAGCUCCAUAGUCAAAAGGGAAACAGCCCAGAUCGUCAUCUAAGGUCCCAAAACUAAGUUAAGUGGGAAAAGAAGUGCCUCGUCUUAUACAGAUGGGAUGUUGGCUUAGAAGUAGCCAUCAUUUAAAGAGUGUGUAAUAACUCACCAUUCUAUUUAUGACGAAGUGCGCUGAAAAUGUAACGGGGCUCAAACUUAGUACCGAAGAUACGAAUUUCUCUCCGAUUUAUCGGAGAGGAGUGGUAGAGGAGCAUUUCUUGUGCUGUGAAGUCAUUUCGUGAGGAAUGGUGGAGCGCAAGGAAGAGAGAAUGUUGGUAUGAGUAACCGCAAGUCUGAUGCGAAAUCAGACCACCGAAAGCCCAAGGAUUCCUUGGCAAUGUAAAUCAACCAAGGGUUAGGCGGGCCUAAGGCAAUCCCGAAAGGGGUAGUCGAUGGACAGUCGGUUAAUAUUCCGACCCUUCUGUAUUUUUUUAUGGAGUGACGGAGUUUAGUAGAUAGGGCAGAUUAUUGGAUUUUUGUCUGUAUAUUAAGAAGCUAGGCUAGGUAAAUCCGGUUUAGAAUACUUCAAGAUAUGCAGGAAGUUUCGAUUUCGAUCGGGAUUACCCUAUUGAGCAGACUUCCAAGAAAAACUUCUAAAAUAAGAAUACAGGAUCCGUACCGCAAACCGACACAGGUGGGCAGGGCGAGAAGCCCAAGGUGAACGGGUUAACCCUCGUUAAGGAACUCGGCAAAAUAGCGGCCGUAAGUUCGCAAUAAGGCCUUCCCCCGCUUAGCGGGGGACGCAGCUAAAGAUCUCUAGCGACUGUUUACCAAAAACACAGGUCCCUGCUAACUCGUAAGAGGAUGUAUAGGGGCUGACACUUGACCAGUGCUGGAAGGUUAAUGGUGGGGGUGUCUCGACCUUGCGUCGGGAUGCUCACUGCUUGAAGCCCCAGUGAACGUCGGCGAUAACUAUAAUCGUCCUAAGGUACCGAAAUUCCUUGGCAUGUAAGUUAUGUCCUGCAGGAAAAGUGUAACGACUGGAGAACUGUCUCAACGAGGAGCCCGGUGAAAAUGCAGUGUCAGUGAAGAUGCUGACUACCUGCGACAAGACGAAAAGACCCCAGGAGCUUUACUAUAACUUGGUAUUGUUUUAAUGUUUUUGAUGCGUAGCGUAGACGGUAGGAUUUGAAGGUCGCCUCUCGGGGCGGCUGGAUCCGACAAUGAAACACCGUUCUUUAAAAAUGUUAAAACUAACCCCUCCGUAACAGAGAGGGACAGUGCCAGGCGGGUAGUUUUAGUGGGGCGCUAGCCUCCUAAAGAGUAACGGAGGCGUUUAUUAAGGUCGACUAGCUCCGGAUGGAAAUCGGAGUGAUAGUGUAAAGGCAAAAGUCGGCUUUACUGCAAGACUGACAGGUCGCGCAGUUGCGAAAGCAGAACUUAGUGAACCGACUCUGGUUAAUAGAAUCGGAGAAGAUCAUCGGACAAAAGCUACCCUGGGGAUAACAGGCUGGUAGGCGCUAAGAGUUCAUAUCGACGCGUCUGUUCGGCACCUCGAUGUCGGCUCAUCUCAUCCUGGAGGUGGAGAAGCUUCCAAGGGUUUGGCUGUUCGCCAAUUAAAGAGGUACGUGAGCUGGGUUCAAACCGUCGUGAGACAGGUUGGACUCCUAUCUGUCGUAGGCGUAGAUACUUGAGAGACUUUGUCCCUAGUAAGAAUAUUGCUACUUCACGAAGUAAUUCGUGAUGACAAUGUGGCUUAUAACGGUGAAGUCUUAAUAAAAUAUGGUCUAUUGAUAAUCAUUAUUGCAUCGGUCCAAUAAUAAUGAUACAAUUUAAUUGAGGACCAGAUAAUUAUUAAGAUAAUACCGUGGGAAGUCGAUCUAAAAUUAAUUAUGCGUAUAUUGCAGGAUUUCUUGAUGGUGAUGGAAGUUUAAUGUUUCAAAUCAAAAAACGGAAAGAUGGCAAAUCUAAAAUAAGAUUUAUGCUGACUAUCUGUUUUUAUCAAGAUUCUAGACAUGCAAAACCACUAUACUGGAUUAAAAGAGUUUUGAGGAUAGGUUAUAUCUCAAAACGUAAAGACGGAAUUACUGAAUUAAGGAUUAACGGUUUUAAGCAGAUUAAGGAUAUAGUGGGGAAUUUAAUUCCAUUUAUCAAAUUUAAGAAAGUCCAAGCAAAAGCAAUAUAUAGCGCUGCGAAUCUUUUGAAUUGUGUAAAAAACAAGGAUUUAUCUGAGAAAGAUUUACACAGGUUAAUAAAUUAUAUUCUGGUGAUUCAGAAUAAUAAUUAUGUGACCAAAAAAAAGAAGACUAAAAAAGAUUUGUUAAAGAUUUUAGAUUUGACCCCGUAACGACUUGAUCCGAUUUCCAUCGGAUCGGAGUUCAGUAGAAAUACUGAGCUAAUACGCCACUACCCUAAUUCCGAUUAACGUCGGAAUGGGUAAAGAUAUAGUCUGCGCACAUAGUGAUAUGUGAUAACGUGACGAGAGGACCGGGAUGAACAAACCUCUGGUGUACCAGCUGUCCUGCCAAGGGCACUGCUGGGUAGCUAUGUUUGGCAGAGAUAAAUGCUGAAAGCAUAUAAGCGUGAAACUCUUCUCAAGAUUAAGUAUCAUAGAUUCCUUGAAGACUACAAGGUUGAUAGGCUUCAGGUGUAAGUCCUGUAAAGGAUUUAGCCGAGAAGUACUAAUAAAUCAUUUUGCCUGU